UAGGGAAUCUUCGGCAAUGGGACGAAAAGUCUGACCGAGCAACGCCGCGUGAGUGAAGAAGGUUUUCGGAUCGUAAAACUCUGUUGGUAGAGAAGAACGUUGGUGAGAGUGGAAAGCUCAUCAAGUGACGGUAACUACCCAGAAAGGGACGGCUAACUACGUGCCAG
Molecule: ribosomal RNA, 167 nt
Filed under: uncultured bacterium
Lineage: Bacteria
Description: partial 16S rRNA
Rfam family: Bacterial small subunit ribosomal RNA
Source: RNAcentral